CUUUGAAAUUCCUUGUUGGGGCUUAUGGCUCAGUGGAGAUAUUUGAGCUUGUCAGCUUCCUCAUAACCCACGAUCCUUUGUUUCCACCACAGGCAUUCAGGAGCAUGCAUAGUCCCACGCCCAGAUAAAUGCCACUCGGCAACUUUCUGGCAGCAUUCGGUCACGUCAGAAAGGCAGAAGACGUCAGUAUUUCUGAAGAUCUGCCGUUGACACUCACUGGAGACCUGCUGGGGUGGAACUUAAGUGCCCAGACCACAGGGACUGGAAAGUUCAUGUUGAAACUGAAUCCCCACUGUACUGAGAGAAGGAACCUUCAUGAAGUGGCUAAGUCACAAGAGUGUCACACUCACGGGUGGAAACCCUAACUACAACAGAGCUGCAGGG
Molecule: long non-coding RNA, 384 nt
Filed under: Cricetulus griseus (Chinese hamster)
Lineage: Eukaryota; Metazoa; Chordata; Mammalia; Rodentia; Cricetidae
Description: lncRNA (ENSCGRG00015036219.1)
Source: RNAcentral